This 253-nucleotide ribosomal RNA is filed under the name uncultured bacterium. Its description in RNAcentral is "partial 16S ribosomal RNA". It matches the Rfam family "Bacterial small subunit ribosomal RNA", at positions 524 to 776 of the family's 1533-position model. The record is from RNAcentral.
UACGGAGGGAGCUAGCGUUGUUCGGAAUUACUGGGCGUAAAGCGCGCGUAGGCGGCUUUGUAAGUUAGAGGUGAAAGCCUGGAGCUCAACUUCAGAAUUGCCUUUAAGACUGCAUCGCUUGAAUCCGGGAGAGGUGAGUGGAAUUCCGAGUGUAGGGGUGAAAUUCGUAGAUAUUCGGAAGAACACCAGUGGCGAAGGCGGCUCACUGGACCGGCAUUGACGCUGAGGUGCGAAAGCGUGGGGAGCAAACAGG